Long non-coding RNA from Rhineura floridana, 956 nucleotides. RefSeq lists it as uncharacterized. The record is from RefSeq and is a predicted model, not a curated record. Lineage: Eukaryota; Metazoa; Chordata; Lepidosauria; Squamata; Rhineuridae. The transcript has 3 exons.
GUUGCGCAGGGUGGAUCCUCGGGGAUCCUUGUUCCUGUCCAGCUGAAAGGAGGCGGGUGGUUUGUAACGCCCCGCAGCUCCCUGCCUUGAGCCGGGCAGGGCCGAAGCAGGCACAGAAGCCCCCUUUUUUUUGUGCAGCCCGGCGGCGGCGGCUGCAGCGGUGUUGUUUUUUCCAGGAAUGUGCUGAAUCGCGCUGCGUCCGGCCAGCCAGCCGGCGGGCGGGCACACGCACGCACACGCGCACACUGGCCCCAUUCAGGCCUGCAGCCGGGAAAGGGAGUAGCCGCACCGCGGGCUGGCUGGCGGGCUGGCUGGCAGGCAGGAUCCCCGUCUGUGGAAGUGGUGGCACUGCCCCAGGGGCCUCGAGGCAGCAGAGCAGAGAGACAGAAGGCGAGAAAGGAACUCUGGAUGGAUAGAAGGAUAGAUAGCAGGAGGCAAACCAUUCGUUUAGCACUUUGGUGGAGAUUUAGCACUUUAGAGAGAGCGUUCACGCAUACACGGCCUCUAUAACUCUUAUAAUAGCCCGGUAAGACUCUGCAAUUGCAUCUAGGACUGUUCACACAAGCAUGUGGUUUCCAGGGCACUUUGGAGUAAUCUGUGUUUCUUUGCAAGCCUUCACACGAAGGAUGGAAAAGGAAAAGGACAGUGACUACAAAGGGAGAUAAGGUACAGGAUCCACCCCACACCUGCUCUGUGCAGAGCAGGAGGAAGGCCUGUCCCCCCCCCCCCAACCACCAGCAGACUUUUCUUGGGGUUGCUACUCCAGCCAUGCUCCCUUACACUUGCAUGACAGACAGUUGCACAACAGGUGAAGGUGCGUCCUUCUAGCAUGGAGGUGGUGCCAUUAAGGCACAGGAGCCCUGCUGGGGUGACUAGUGGGCAGCCCUACACAUCUGCCUUUACCUUUCAGGACCUGUUCCAUCCAGGAUGCUCUUCAACAAAAGCCUUUGACGUUG